CCGUGAGGGAAAGGUGAAAAGAACCCCGGGAGGGGAGUGAAAUAGAACCUGAAACCCUGCCCUUACAAGCUGUGGAAGCACAUUUCUUGUGUGACCGCGUACUUUUUGUAGACCGGGCCAACGAGUUACGUUAAGUAGCAAGGUUAAGCACUUAAGGUGCGGAGCCGUAGCGAAAGCGAGUUUUAACUGAGCGUUCAGUUACUUGACGUAGACCCGAAACC
This 221-nucleotide ribosomal RNA is filed under the name Clostridioides difficile. Its description in RNAcentral is "partial 23S ribosomal RNA". It matches the Rfam family "Bacterial large subunit ribosomal RNA", at positions 501 to 722 of the family's 2925-position model. The record is from RNAcentral. Lineage: Bacteria; Bacillati; Bacillota; Clostridia; Peptostreptococcales; Peptostreptococcaceae.